This 216-nucleotide ribosomal RNA is filed under the name Glomeromycotina sp. Its description in RNAcentral is "partial small subunit ribosomal RNA". The stretch from base 40 to 216 matches the Rfam family "Eukaryotic small subunit ribosomal RNA", at positions 686 to 864 of the family's 1831-position model. Lineage: Eukaryota; Fungi; Glomeromycota. The record is from RNAcentral.
GGGUCAGUAGGUUGGUCGUGCCACCGGUACGUACUGGUCUCACUGAUUCCUCCUUCCUGAAGAAUCGUAAUGCCAUUAAUUUGGUGUUGCGGGGAAACAGGACUGUUACUUUGAAAAAAUUAGAGUGUUUAAAGCAAGCUAACGCUUGAAUACAUUAGCAUGGAAUGAUGAAAUAGGACGAUCGAUCCUAUUUUGUUGGUUUCUAGGAUUGACGUA